Molecule: transfer RNA, 82 nt
Filed under: Spirochaetota bacterium
Lineage: Bacteria; Pseudomonadati; Spirochaetota
Description: Spirochaetes bacterium (wastewater metagenome) tRNA-Leu
Rfam family: tRNA
About the family: Transfer RNA (tRNA) molecules are approximately 80 nucleotides in length. Their secondary structure includes four short double-helical elements and three loops (D, anti-codon, and T loops).
Source: RNAcentral
GCGAGUGUGGCGAAAUUGGCAGACGCGCUAGACUUAGGAUCUAGUGUUUAAACGCGUGUGGGUUCAAGUCCCUCCACUCGCA